AAGUUCUUAACCUGAAACCAUUUAGAAACUAUUUUUGAGAGAAUGAAAGGGGUCAAACAGGAGGAUUUGAGACCGAACGGUGGAAAAAGGUUCAUUGAGGUCUUUAGGGAAUUUUAAUACGCGAUCUUGAGUUUCAUAUUUGCGAAGAUCAGAGGCGGCACCACAUGUGUAGAGUAUGGCGUAAGUGCAAUCACGAGUGG
Molecule: long non-coding RNA, 200 nt
Filed under: Lathyrus oleraceus (garden pea)
Lineage: Eukaryota; Viridiplantae; Streptophyta; Magnoliopsida; Fabales; Fabaceae
Description: Pisum sativum (pea) long non-coding RNA (PSAT_LNC003920)
Source: RNAcentral